Molecule: long non-coding RNA, 224 nt
Filed under: Musa acuminata (dwarf banana)
Lineage: Eukaryota; Viridiplantae; Streptophyta; Magnoliopsida; Zingiberales; Musaceae
Description: long non-coding RNA (MACU_LNC002022)
Source: RNAcentral
UUCCGUCGAGGCCUCUGGCAUCCACUAACGAUCUUCUUUCAAUGAGCGAAGAUCAACUACCCUUUUAUACCCCUCUUCUCAUUUUCACAGGUUUAGAAGAUAACCAUUUUAAGCACUCACUCCUCCCUAAACAUAAUUCUAAACUUUAAAACUAGAAAAGGGGAUUUCUCAAGUGAUUGUUAUAGCGUUUUCCCACUUUUAAUUUCUCUAAGCUUGUGUUUUUU